UAAUUAGGUCAAUAGGGUAAAACUUUCUGUCAAAACCGCAUGAUCGAUGCGUGGGAAGGUCAUAGGUUAACCCUUGAUCUCAUUUGUUCCGCCCAUCCAUCAUAAGGUUACCGGAAGUUCAACCUGUCAAAAGGUCAAAGGUCAAAGUCAUAAAUCAUCAUGACAGGUAGUGUAUUAUAAUAACUACUCCCAUAUAAUGGAAGCCAGUUGGGACCAGCACAUUUUUUGCUUAACAGCAUUCUUCAAGAUAUCAUCUUUUGUGAUUAACAAAAGAAGGAUACUAAUACAGUUUUGGAGCAUCAUGAAGGUGCUAAAAAAAGGUAAAUUAUGACAGAAUUUAAAUUUUUGGAUGAACUAUCCUUUUAAGAUAAUCUAGACUUGGAAGACAGUUGAAUCUCAAAAUGCAGUAUUAUUUUAUUUUUAUAACAGUGGACAGACAGGUAAGUUGAAUGUAACUGUUAUCUUGACAGAGGGCUAAUCACAGUGAAUGUUUACAGGACCUGGUUUAACCAGCAGUGGAGAGAGUCAUGAAGGAGAAUCACCAAAUAACACCGAUAACGAAGGGUGUCUCUGGGUGGAGUUGGCCUUAUUGGCACAUCUGGCAUGGGAAGCUCUUCACAUCUUGAUGGCAUCUUUAUUGAUUGAUUGAAGGUGGUUUGCCUGUUGGGUAAUUUAAAUUUUUUAUUUUCCGGUGAAACUGGCAGCUGAGGUUCCACUGUUGUAAUAAUAAAAGUUAAAUAAUAAAAAAAGUAUACUGGUAUUGGGAUUGACUACUGAAAUUUAGUUAUUCUGACACUUUUUGUAUGAAAAUGUACACAAGUUGUAAAGGUAUAGUAAAGGUAUAGUUCACCCAAAAAUCUAAAAUAUGUCAUUAAUAACUCACCCUCAUGUCGUUCCAAACCCGUGAGACCUCCGUUUAUCUUCAGAACACAGUUUAAGAUAUUUUAGAUUUAGUCCGAGAGCUCUCAGUCCCUCCAUUUGAAGCU
This 986-nucleotide long non-coding RNA is filed under the name Carassius auratus (goldfish). RNAcentral's name for it is "lncRNA (ENSCARG00000040451.1)". Lineage: Eukaryota; Metazoa; Chordata; Actinopteri; Cypriniformes; Cyprinidae. The record is from RNAcentral.